This is a long non-coding RNA of Anopheles nili, 11102 nucleotides long. RefSeq lists it as uncharacterized. The transcript is spliced from 2 exons. Lineage: Eukaryota; Metazoa; Arthropoda; Insecta; Diptera; Culicidae. The record is from RefSeq and is a predicted model, not a curated record.
ACGAGACUGGUGCUGGUGCUUUUGCUCGCUCUGACCCCCGCGGUGUGGUUUGUCUCUCUGUGUGUGCGUGUGAGUGAUUGUGAGUGCGACGAUAAGCAAUUGCUGCGAGGCCGCUGGGGGAAAACUGCCUACGGCGCGGUGCAAGCUAAACUCAGCACCGGUCGAGACAGCUAUGCAUCUUUCUUUCUUCCUAACUUUGCUCUUCCUUAUCAGAAACACGAGCUCUGUAACCGUGUCACUCCUUUACGGAACCUGAAUCCCACAGCCCGUUGCGAGCGUGUCACUUCCUGUCAUCCAGGGUAUCGUGUGCAUCUUCGUCUGAUGGACAAGAGAGAGCGACGUUCUUCGACGAGGAGUCGCCCCAAGCCUGGCCCUUUUUUGUUUUCUUUUUUUUUUCGAAUGCUCUACUGUGCGAGGAAGGAGGUCCUGGCGAAUCUGUCACGGGAAGACCCUGCUGCCGAAAGUCGAAGGCGGGUAUACGGGUACAAUAUGCACUUGUUAGCAGCAAAUGGGUUUUUAGCUUUCUUUUGACAGCCCAAGACUACCAUGAAAACCGCUGGCCCUAGAAAGGCACGACAUGUUCGGACGGCAGCUUGCGUUCAAGCAACAGGCAUCCUUUACCGAUGAGUUUGACCGGGUCAUGAAUCGUGGGAGCAAGUUAACGUCUAAGUAUUAAUGUCCCUAUAUUGAACACUAUCUUCAAUCGGUGCGAAGCGAGUCACUUAUUUAGUGAGAGAUUCGUUCGCUCGCUUUGGUGAGAAUCUAUGAUCGUGUGGCUUUUGCUACGAUAUAAGCAAGUUUGAACACAUUGUUCAAUAUUUUUUUUUGUGUGUAUAGCAAAGUAAAUUUUGAGUUAGCUUACUUUUUGAAACAAGAGCUUAUAUCUGCACGAAGCAGAAGGUUCCUUUCUCCUCACUUUCGGUUCACACAUCUCUCACCACGCUCGCUAGAUUGAAUGAUCUGUUGUUAGGAUCCAUACGAGUCACCUGACUCGCUUAACGUCCGAUAAGCGUUUAGCUAUUUUUUAGAGAUGCAGCUACGAAAUGAUGAUGGGUAACAAGCAUAGAUGUGUAUGUGUUGGGCAUGAUGCGGCCUACGGCAGAAUGUGCGGAUCUCAUAGCUACGUGAGGUUGCUCCAGCGCCAUAUUCCUAGCCACUUCAUUUGAUGCAGAUAAGGAUGAGAUGAUUGGGCGCAAUGCGGUUAAGUUAAGUUGGUAUCUUCAAGCAUGGAUUGCUGCAGCAUACGAAUAUUCGACCGGCUUGCAUGGAAACGUUGUAUCCGUCGUCCCACAAAACGAGCUCAAGAAGUCCUGCUGGAAUCGCGCUUAGGCGCGACUGCAAUGAGGGAUUAAUAUUACUUCCAUAGUCUCCUGAUUAUGUAUUACCUCCAGCAAUGAUGUGAGUGCUGCUUCAUCAUCGUCAUUGUAUCCAGACGAUGUCCUUCCCCUUCCCUGCGUUGGCUCAGAUGCGGAAGGCACAGACGUUGAAAAUCGGACGUACUCCAGCAAGAAUUGACAAAACUGUAUCCUUCGGGCUCGUUCAGCGUGCGUCAGCUAGCUGCCCUUCAUCGCUUCGUCGUAGUUUGCUGUCCGGUUUAUUGUCCUCUUCACCUGUUGCGGAAGAGCGUGGCGGAUAUGCUUCGAAACUGCGACUCACGCAAGCCGCAUCCAGAGCGCUAUGCGUGACAUUCGGAAAUAAGUGCAUACUACGUUUUCGUCGCAAGGACGUCGUUCGUUUAUCUGAGGUUUCUUUCCACCGGUCAUGUCAACGCUAUAUGGCGUGCUGAAGUCACGUCCAUCGGUUGUGAGGCUCAACGGUCUUCUUUGAGAUGGUACGGAUGGUUCUAUCGAGGUUGUAUACCCAAGCCAGCGCGAAGAGGAUGCAGAAAGUCGCGAGAAGAUGGGUUCAUCGGAUGGGGUUAGGUUUUUCGGUUUCCUGGCGGGUUCGGGCUCCUGGUAGGCGUAGGAUGGAAUGCGGGAUGGUUUUGCUCGCCAGCGAGAAGAACUCCAGCGCACGGACGGUGCCUGCGAGUGGCCAGCAAGAAGAGAGCAAAAUCCAACGAAGUUCACCUGAAGGAGAAGUGGUUUCUAUAACGGCGUUUAGCGGGAUGAUACUUACAGUUACGAUUAUCUGGAAUUUGAAGUGCAGGAGGCACUGAUGUUUUUUCACAAGCAAUCGACGAGAAGCAAUGCUUAUGGAUGUGUAUUGGUCUGUGAUGUUAUGCAAUUAUUACAAAGCUUAGCUUUUGUGCCAAGACCUAACUGCUAUGGGAUAAUAUUAGUGAUUGCAACAUAUCCACAACCUGUGGCAGCUUAUCAUUUGAGCUUUCCAUAAUGGUGCAACUCAAACACCAUCUACUGUAGCGGAGCUGAUAAUUCUACAAAGUUGUGUGAUAUAUCAACACUAAAAUUUAUUUGAUGCAGCAAGAACGCUCGCAGAAUAACUGGCAUCGGAAUGGAAAAUCGAUAUGAAAUGCGUUUAACGUAUCCCACUGCUGUGAAUUAUAUGCUGGCUAGCAUGUUCCCCUAGUACAAUUGCGAUGACGUGUGUGAGCUCUGUAAUUGAGCACGUUAACAGUAUAAACCAAACUUGUUCCUGGCCAUCGUUAUCAGAUGUUAUGCCUAGUUGUACGCUUAUGGCAAACACAACUUGAAAAGGAUAAUUAACGUCCCAUGGAAAGAGAGUGCGAAGUGAAAAAUUGAAUAGUUUUUGUGCUAGUUUCGCAACUAUAUUUGUAUUGAUGCAUGUGUUAAGGAUCUCAAAUUCUUCAACGACAAGGCGCCACAAUUUUUGCACACUCGACAAUGUUUCACGGAUGUAUCUCUACCCUGCUUUAAAGAGGCGACUUGACCAGAAAAUCUACACCUGAAUCUGAAGAAUUGUUACUACACACAGUUUCGCCUGCUUACAACCCUGAUGCUUAUUCACCUUUAGAAGACUUGAAAUGUCCCAGCGGUUAUUGAUUGAGUCUUCCCGAAUCAAACUAUAUGCUCCAGCGACCACAUAUUUUAUCAUCUGCACAUAGAAAUCACCAUUAUUAGCAGAUUAUCAGAAUAGCUCAUUUUCUGUCUUCCCGAUUGGAUUGGGCUCGCACCUGUGAAAUUAUGACACCAGAUGGAUGAAGCUGUUACCAGUGAAGAUGAAGAAGGAUUUCUUGGUAUUUAUGCUACAUCGCUUUCAAAAUUGAAUAUCCAAAAUGUAGACCUGGUCUAUAAGAGUACGCUUAGGCGUGUCGAGAACGCGAUUCUUCUAAUGAACCGAAUGGAAAAGCUUACCUAAGCAUUGAAAUAUCUAGAAAUACACUGUAAAUGAUGCUUACGUCUUCAACAUCUUCAAGCGAUUGUAUAAGGAAAGUACUAAAUGGUGCUCACCGUCGGCUUACAUGCGGAUGGUAUCCUGGAAGGCGCAUAUAACGAUCGUCUAACGUAUUCCACGAAGCUUCGACGGCUUUGCUGUAUUCUUUGGAUUGGCCAACAUUGCCGUCCAAUCGCUCCUAAUGCGAUGUUCUUGUUAAUCCGAUUUUUCGUCUGUGGCGAAAGAAUUAACAAGGCAUGCUGCAAGCUACGGUUUAUGAAAGCCUAUAUGAAAUCAUGCGUAGCAUCUAAAAGCCAGUGGUAUUCUACAGUGUCAUAAGGAUGUCCUUCAUUCAUCUGAGGUCUGAUUUCAUCAGUCCUAUCUACGAUGUAUUAAACGUACGCGUCAUCAGUUGAGCGGCGCAUCAUUCUUCUAGGAGAUGUUGAGAUUUUUUAAGUUAAUGUUAUAUACCCAAGCAAGCGUGAAAAGGAAGCAGAAAGUCGCGAGAAGAUGGGUUCAUCGGAUGGGGUUAGGUUUUCGGUUUCCUGGUAGGCGUAGGAUGGAGUGCGGAAAGGUUUUGCUCGCCAGCGAGAAGAGCUCCAGCGCACGGACGGUGCCUGCGAGUGGCCAGCAAGAAGAGAGCAAAAUCCAACGAAGUUCAACUGGAUGAGGAGCAGUGGUGUCGACGACGAUGUUUGACGGGAUGUUUUCAGUCUCGAUUUUGUAGUGCAGGAGGCACUGAUAUUAUUUUGGCAAUAGAAUACGAUAAGCAAUGCUUUUAUAUAUGCAUUGAAUGAGUACUUAUAAUGCUCUUCGUCAUAACUUACACUAAUCGUAUGACAGAUUAUUAAGCCAUGGAAAAUUUACACCAAAUAUUGCUUAUGUAGUGCAAGAAAUUCUAAAGCUUUUAGUUGUGUUCCUGAAAAAGUUGCAAGUUGUAUUAUCACAAUUUGUAAUAAUGUUCCUAAUGGCAGUGAUCCAUAAGUAAGCCAUUUUGUCACUAAAGGCUGCCGUCCUCAUUGUUGCCUAACUCAUUUCUACAUUCAUAGCUGCGAAAACGUUACUUAGAUCUUACAAUCAACAUUUUAUUUAGAAUCAAACUGAAUGCGACAAUUGAACACUUCUACUAAGUGUGAUCGAUAGACAUAUUUUAUGAAAUUUGUGCACGGAUAAGAGAUAGAUGAACCUUUCUGUUAAGGGUGAUCAAUAGUCAUAUUUUAUGGAACCUGAACUAACUGGAACUCGGAUAAAAGAUAUAUAAACCCUGCUUCUGCUAAGGGUGAUCAAUAGACAUAUUGCACAAAACUUGAACAAACUUGAACACGCAUAAAAGAUCAAUGAACCCUUCUGCUAAGGAUGUUCGAUACUCAUACUUUAUGUAACUUACCUGCUGUAAAGACAGUACGUGGAGUAAGGAAUCCCAAUUAUGUGUGAACUAUUUAGCUACUUGAUAUGAUCUGCUAUUGGUAUAUCUAAAACAUAUUAUGAACCAAACGUCUUAUGAAAAAAACCCGUCUAUGAAAGCGACUUAUAACCUUCGCUCAGUUCUCACAAUCGAAAAAACGUACCUGUGAAUAUGAAGUUUAUACCUGCAUGUAACACAAUUUAUAAGUAUUUAUUAGUAAGUACGAUUACCACGAAUCAAAACCGAAUCUUGAGGUACUUGACGUACGCAUUAGUAUGACGAUUGCAUAUUGAGCAGGACCCAGAAAUGCAUAAAAUCAGUAUGAGGAAACUCAACCAAACCAGAACACACAUCUGGUAGAUCUCAAUAAUCUCGCACCGUGUGCGCAACGAACUGAACCAACCAAAACGGAAACAUAAACCAGGACUUUGUGGGAUAGAGGGCGGGAACAAGAUAUAGUAGCAGCAGGCUACUAGCUGCCGGAAGCCACCAGAAAAUAGCAAACGAAGCAUUGAAGUAUUGACGCUGGUGCGUUAGCGAGGGCGUUAAAUCGCGCUGAGUAUUUGGGAAAAUCGAUACGCGAAUAAAUUGCCGAUGCUUUGACCACCUUGUAUGCAUGAAUGGCAGCUGGAGUUGUUAGUGGCAGCAUAUACACAUAAAUACAUAUAUUUUUUUUUCGUUCGAUUUCCCUCGUUCUGCUCACAUGGAACUGCGCUUGAAUCCGCCCGUCUCGGGAGGAGCAGUGCUGCCAAAGUAUUUAAAAAGAAACGAAUCAAAUAAAUAUUUCAUUUUCAUUUCCAAACGAAACCGUUCUUUUUGUUGAAGCUUUUGAAUGGACAGAGAAGGGAGAGAGAGAGAGAGUACGUUACUUGAUUAUGUGAACUUAACCAUAAACGUUUUCUAUAUUGGUCCUAGCUGACAUGGAUAUGCAAAGGUAGAUGGCAGCCUUUUCCAUCAUUUUUUCUCUCUUGCCUAUGUUGAGUGCCAGGCCCUGCUGUACCGCUCUGGGGACGUUGGUGUCGAUCCAGAGCCGGGUGCAUUGAAAGGUGGACGACGAAUGUGCGAAGAUCGUUCAAGGGUAGCCUGGCUAGACGCCUAUAUAAGUAGCGGCCUGCCUAUUCGGCGAGCCCGUGCGGUAUAAGCGGUCACAGUGAAGAAAGAAGAGAAGAUGAAAAGAAUGCUAGCAUAUCACGUACCGUAUCCCUUCUGCCGCCAGCAGUAGUAGAGACGAGAACACCCAAUAUCUCCCUGCCACGUUGGCGGUCACGAUCGCACAACCGGUGCCGGAAGGAACGCAGGACAAGCAGGAGAUGAGCGCGCAAGCGAACAGAAACAGACAAGAAGAGACGGUAACGGUAGAAGCGGGACAUAGUAAAUCAUAUAGAGAACAGAUAAGCAAAACCAGCCACUGGGAAGGCCGCGGAAAACGCGUUGAAAGCCCGCCCAUUCGCUGGGUGAACGGGAACGCUUGAACAGAGUAGCAGGUAACGUGUGGUACAACGCCCUUCCGAGGGUGUAGUACCGGUUAGUGGCCGGAUUGUGGCGAGUCCUGCGCCCGCGCUAAGCGAGCGCUGCUUACAACUAUCACUUUUGUUUCGAUUCUAGUCUCGACCCGGUAUUAGUAGUACGGCUAAGCGAUAUAACCGAAGUCCGGAACUGACCUCGCCCUUAAGCGCGUUAGGGGGUGUGGGGCGUAAACCUUGUGCGGAGGGCGAACACCUACUGUGAAGAUCCUAGUGCCCCUCACACUAUCCCCAUCUUCCCCAAAAAAAAAAUCCGGAGCCAAGCAAACAAAGCGGGAGACCAAGCACGUUUAAAACGCGACGAAAGACGUGUCCUAGCUGAGUCACAAUCAAAAACCUAACCUGCUCGAAUCGAGUACAUGGAGAGUACACAUAUACACACGCGCGCGCAAACACACAAACGGACGCGAGCGGCUAACUCUGGACAGCGAUAAAGGAACGCUAGGCUUCAUGCAGACGAAUCGAAAGUGUUACGUUAUGGGUGUUCGACAGCGUGCCCUCAGAUUGGCUUCUCGCAGAGGUGUUCUACCACACAGCGGAUGCUCCAGACUUCUGCCUGCAACACCGCACCGCGAGGUUCCUGAGAUCUACGGCUCCAGCGAGGCCGCCUCCAGCCAGAACCUGGCACGGUCGUGGAAGGUGACGUGUCUUCUCCCCAGAGACAUGGUUGGACCGGGUGGAAGGGGCUUUUGCACCAUCCUCCCACGCACACCCCCAUUCGUCCUUGCCAAGCGACACCACUCUAUCUCUGUACGUUUUAGUAUUCAACCAACGUUGCUCCUCUACUAUUUCCGUGCUCGUUCCAUGCACUUGGGACCGGGAACCUGAGCGUGACAGGAUCGACCCGUCUAGCCCAUCCUGCGAGAAGGUUCCAGCGAUGCGGAGACCAAAUGAGGCAGCUCUAGCUGCUACUCGAUGCUCGAUGGUGGACGUGUCGAGUCGUCGUCCUCAGCAACCAACUCCUCGCAACACCCGGGCAACCCAGCAAGGAACGGCGGAAGAGGCUUUAUUCUCAGAUUUUCAGCCACAGACCAGACACCGACCUGCGCAUCCUGCUGCAGUUUUUCCUACUUCUCCUCUCAACCCUUUCUCGCUCUCUCUCUCUCUCUCUCGCAUUUCCUUCCACGGCAACGUGCGCGUGUAUGUGUGUAUGUGUAUAUGUGCAUGCGUGUGUCGGUGCCAGCUGUAGCGAAUACAGUUCUUCCUGCAAAAAAAAAACACCUACGGACAGCGACGCGAACGUGCCUCCUGCGCAGAGGUUACCGAGGCAGUAGUACUGUCAAGUGCGCAACACACCACCUAUCUCUCGGCUCCUUCAGAGCUUUCUUUUUUUUGUUUGCUCUGUUUCUGGCAACACCUGGCUCUCGGGAGAAGGCUCGACGCGUUCGACGACACCUUGGCCGGGGCUGGCUUGCUGACAGUCGGCAGGACAUGUGGCGUGUGCGGUGUGUGUGUGUGGUGUGGUGCGUAAAAAAAAGGAUAUACAACGUGACUUCAUAAACCUCCCCUCCCUCCCCUUCCCCUUCCGUGUGCUGCAGCUGCCGGGGAAAAAGAGCCAGCGAGCCAACCGCGAAGUGGCGUGUUGUGUGUGCCUCUGCUAAGACCGACCCGUAGCGGUCGCGUUUGGUGCCUGCGAAUCGCCACGUGGUUUUGCCGGCAAACGUUGCGGGCCCGAAGUUAGCAACCGAUAGACUAAGAAACCGCGAAAAAAACUCCCGGAAAAGCUGGAUCCCGUCUGUCGCGCGUUGGCCGGUUGACAGCAUCAUCCUGCCGAUGCGGUGGGAGACGGGGCGCCGUAGGGUUGUGGCUGCUGGCGCUGCUUAUGCGGGGCUGUCCGCUGGCAGCCCCGUGUGUGUGUGUGUGCCGGGUGAACAGACACAACCGUACCGCCCACCCGAUGUGGAUCUACGCGCGCAAAGUGUACGCAAGCGAACAAACGAAACAAAAGAAAAAAAAAGAAAUGAAUAUCACCCACGAUCCAUCCUGCGGCCGGUGUGGGGUUAGAUCGCGCGACAACCGACCGGCAAAUCCUUACGAUAUCCAUCACCCCACAUUUGCAGGGUUCGCCGACCCGCAAAAGUCCCCGACCAUUAGUGUGUAGACGUUAAGCGACGAAACGAGAAAAUUACACGGUUAAACGCGCCCGACAUGAAAAACCCACGACCGGACGGGCACAAAGAGGGGGUUGCGAUGGGUGGGCGGGCUCUGCUCGCCCUCCUCUCCCACCUCAGACCGCCACCCGUGGCUGAUUCGGUGCCCACGCUGCGUGUGUUGGUCCUUCGAGCAGGAUAAUGGCACGUCAACGCGACCAACUCUCGAUCGGAAAAUGGCUCUCUCUCUCUCUCUCUCUCUCGCAACAGCAGCAGCAACAGCGAGCCAACAACCCCUGUCCUGUGUGAAGCGUUACCCAUAUCCCUCUCCCAACCUCAACACUCAAACACAACCGAGCGAUCGGGGGUGUGUGUGUGUGUGUGUGCAGACACCUAAUGCGGCGGCAAACUGUCCUUCCGAUCGGCAUAAUUUAGUUCGCGGCAACUCACCCAGCCCGGUUCGCCCUUUUUCGCUCGUGAUCGUUUCGUGUGGGAAAAGCCAAGACCGGGAUCCUGCCGCUCUACCUCCUGCCUUGGGGAGACGGAUCCUGGGGGAUUUUGCGUGAAGGAUAUCGCGCAGGUUCGGUCGGGCGAACCGCUCCUUGCGGAUGUUCCAUCCAAUCCCUCUUCCCCCGGCCGAGCCUUGAACGUGGUGCCCUUCAGGUGUCCUUGGAUCCGUUCCGCGCAGUCCCGCAGUGCUGUAACGUAACUACUUCGCUCCAAGUGUGUCGUGCUCUAUAUCCUAGCGAUAAGCCUGUUGGCAUUUGUUUGCCAAGCUGCCGAACAAACAGAAAUACGAACGCAUAUGGACUAAUUUCUCUACUCACUCUAUCUAUAAGCUCUAAUCCUAUGUCGGUAUGUACGAACGUCUAUGUUAAGCUGCCCGUUGCUGCCGCCACCGUCACCAUCACCACCACCGGUACCUUCCUAUCGUAGAUGAUAAGCUAAGAAACGAGAACGCGCAUCUGUCGGUUCGAACUUCUUCUAUAAUUAAUGCCUUUUUUUUCGUUAUUAAUUUGACGGCCACGAGCGAACCAAAGCACCAAAGGGUAACCGGGUUUUUUUUUCGGGCGAUGAUGAUGUGCGGGUUUUGCGGUGGCCACAUCGAAGCGGUGAUCCCGGCCAACGCUCUCGCUGGCCCGGGUGACCCUCGACCGCACCACCACACCCCACCCCCGCGAAACCCACAAUUGUGCCGAUCGGGAGGAGGGUGGCCAUGAAAACGCGACCCUUUUUUUAGGUUCUGCAUCCACUCUGCUCUGCUCGCUUUCCACACCCACACAUACGAACAUCUCCUCCUCCUCCUCCUCAACCGGAACCACACCGGAUGCCGGCCGCCGCCCACCGGUGGUACCCCGCCGGAGACCUUCCACCGCUUGGGGUCACUCUGUUUCACUUUUAGUUUUCUUUUUUCCAAACAUUUUUCUCUGCGCCUACUACGAAACGUGUUCCGGGUUCCGGUGCGAAUAACAAAAACAAAAAAAAAAGAAACAUCCAACGACACCUCUCCUGCGUGCUGAUCCUGUCGGUCGCCGUCCCACACGCGGGACGCCGCCCGCAACGUAUCCGGUCCUUUGCUCCUCUGGGAAGGGGGGUGCGCCCGUGGCUGGUUCCAGUGCACGCCGGCAGAGGGGGCGCGGUUCGACGGGAAGGACUGUAGAGCGUGAAUCCAACGUGUCCGCGCCCCCCCCUGUAAGACCGGUGGCAGGAGCCAGUGUGCGCGCCCUAGCAGAAGGGGAGGCAAGUGGGCCACAAAAAACCAAACCAAAAAAAAAACCACGUGUCAACGCCAACAUGUACGAGAACGCGUGUUCGCAGCCGCUCGUUUUACUAUUCCGCCACGACCGGGUCAGGAAGGGGGUGCGGGGGUGCUACCGGGCGGCGGCAGGUUUGGCCGGUUGGUACCGUUGCGGCCUGAAGGUGUGCAGGGGGGUUGCGUCUGAAGGGCGCACAACCCCGACACCAAGGGUCCUUAAAACACUCACACGGUCACACGCAACAGAGAUCCUUAUUCCGUACACUACCUGUUUUCCCUAUCCCCCGGUCAAUAUUUGAGUCCUUUUUUUCUUUCAACUGCUGUUUUAGUGUUGAUUUUUUCCUUCCAUCAAACUCUCUCAACAUCUCGUCGCUGUGCGGUAGAACACCACUUCGGCAGGACAAAGGACACGCUGUCGCAACACCCGUUCGGUCCGAAUUUGCGAUUCGUCUGCACUUUCGCGCUCGGUGAAAAAAGAAACGCAAAACGAUACGCCACCCUUAACGUACGAGAUCUGUCGCGGAAGAGCCCUACGAGGCGAACAGCCGUUUGCGGAACGAAGCGAAAAUGAUAGCCGCGCGGUUACAAAUUCGUACGCGAGCAAAGCAAAAGCGAAACAAAGCCGCGGAAAGCAAAAGAACAAACGAAAGAGACGAAAAAAACGAUACGAAAGCGGCAAAGGAGCGCAAAAGAAAAGAGAGAAGAACAAGAAACGAAACGAAACAAAAGAACUAUAAAACACAGCAACCCAUUAAAACAAACAACCCAAUAAAACAUGACAACCCGAUAAAACCCACCAAACCCGGCAAGCGGCCAACUGCUGCGCGUAAACCAAACCAAACGAAUAAAAGGACAUGUGGGAAGAGGGCGGGUAAAUAAAAAAACAAAGCUAACAAUUUGCAACACGUAACGUGACACGUUCGGCGCGGUUUUUUCUGUUUGUUUGUUUUGCUUUUGUUUCGCCUAUUGGUUUACUAGCGCAAUAAAACGAACCUCUGUGUUUAAGCGUAAGAAAACAACCCCGAAACAGUGUG